UAAUAAGUGUUUUAUGGCACUUUUUAAAUCCAUAUCCACCUUGUGUGCAAUGUCAGUCGGUUUUCUUUUUCGUCAAGAAAAAAAGGAUCGACCAAACAUCAACUUACUCUAAUUGAACUUUUGUCUGAAAACUAUUAUGAAUAAACUAAUUCAAAAUA
Molecule: unclassified non-coding RNA, 158 nt
Filed under: soil metagenome
Description: partial internal transcribed spacer 1
Source: RNAcentral